GACGAACGCUGGCGGCGUGCUUAACACAUGCAAGUCGUACGGUAAGGCCCUUUCGGUGGUACACGAGUGGCGAACGGGUGAGUAACACGUGAGUAACCUGCCCACAACUUUGGGAUAACGCUAGGAAACUGGUGCUAAUACUGGAUAUGUGCUCCUGCUGCAUGGUGGGGGUUGGAAAGCUCCGGCGGUUGUGGAUGGACUCGCGGGCUAUCAGCUUGUUGGUGGGGUAGUGGCCUACCAAGGCGGCGACGGGUAGCCGGCCUGAGAGGGUGACCGGCCACAUUGGGACUGAGAUACGGCCCAGACUCCUACGGGAGGCAGCAGUGGGGAAUAUUGCACAAUGGGCGCAAGCCUGAUGCAGCAACGCCGCGUGCGGGAUGACGGCCUUCGGGUUGUAAACCGCUUUCAGCAGGGACGAAGCUUUUUGUGACGGUACCUGCAGAAGAAGCACCGGCUAACUACGUG
RNAcentral lists this ribosomal RNA (465 nucleotides) under uncultured bacterium. RNAcentral describes it as "partial 16S ribosomal RNA". It matches the Rfam family "Bacterial small subunit ribosomal RNA", at positions 28 to 507 of the family's 1533-position model. The record is from RNAcentral.